UUUUUUUGUCCCAGAUUUUUUUUUUUUGUUACGAAAGCAUCUUCUUUGAUUUUUCUUAGUCUUUUAUUCAACAUUUUUUCCUUCUGAAUGCUAAAGGAAAGAGAAGAAGUGAGCAAUAUGGAUGGUCGACACGUGUUCCACAAGAGGUGACUAGAGGGAUGGUUUAGUUCUUGUUCACUUGAUUUGGUAUUGUCUUGUCAUUGUUUUAGAUUGAUAUUAUCACCGGAGGAAAGAGCAAGAA
Molecule: long non-coding RNA, 241 nt
Organism: Brassica oleracea var. oleracea
Lineage: Eukaryota; Viridiplantae; Streptophyta; Magnoliopsida; Brassicales; Brassicaceae
Exons: 2
Source: RefSeq, a predicted model, not a curated record